This 459-nucleotide ribosomal RNA is filed under the name uncultured Bacteroidales bacterium. RNAcentral describes it as "bacterial SSU rRNA". It matches the Rfam family "Bacterial small subunit ribosomal RNA", at positions 50 to 503 of the family's 1533-position model. The record is from RNAcentral. Lineage: Bacteria; Pseudomonadati; Bacteroidota; Bacteroidia; Bacteroidales.
AACACAUGCAAGUCGAGGGGCAGCACAGGUAGCAAUACCGGGUGGCGACCGGCGCACGGGUGAGUAACGCGUACGCAACUUACCUAUCAGAGGGGGAUAACCCGGCGAAAGUCGGACUAAUACCGCAUGAAGCAGGGGCCCCGCAUGGGGAUAUUUGCUAAAGAUUCAUCGCUGAUAGAUAGGCAUGCGUUCCAUUAGGCAGUUGGCGGGGUAACGGCCCACCAAACCGACGAUGGAUAGGGGUUCUGAGAGGAAGGUCCCCCACAUUGGUACUGAGACACGGACCAAACUCCUACGGGAGGCAGCAGUGAGGAAUAUUGGUCAAUGGCCGAGAGGCUGAACCAGCCAAGUCGCGUGAGGGAUGAAGGUUCUAUGGAUCGUAAACCUCUUUUAUAAGGGAAUAAAGUGCGGGACGUGUCCCGUUUUGUAUGUACCUUAUGAAUAAGGAUCGGCUAACUC